ACCUAGGGUAAAGGUGCUGUAGUUAUUAUUAUUUAUUCUUAGCUGGCAAGCUUUGAGGGAUAAAGAAAGGAAUUGCAGCCGAAGAAGGAUUUCCGGCAGGAACUUUUUCUGGUUUUGUAUAAAAUAUAUGCAGAACUGUCACUAUUCUUUUAUAGUGGAGAGCUACAAGGUGC
Molecule: non-coding RNA, 173 nt
Filed under: Clostridium acetobutylicum
Lineage: Bacteria; Bacillati; Bacillota; Clostridia; Eubacteriales; Clostridiaceae
Also listed under: 1 other name
Description: Lysine sequence
Rfam family: Lysine riboswitch aptamer
About the family: Riboswitches are metabolite binding domains within certain messenger RNAs that serve as precision sensors for their corresponding targets.
Source: RNAcentral